This 454-nucleotide RNase P RNA is filed under the name Cyanobacteria bacterium UBA11366. Its description in RNAcentral is "RNase P RNA component class A". It matches the Rfam family "Bacterial RNase P class A". Rfam says of the family: Ribonuclease P (RNase P) is a ubiquitous endoribonuclease, found in archaea, bacteria and eukarya as well as chloroplasts and mitochondria. Its best characterised activity is the generation of mature 5'-ends of tRNAs by cleaving the 5'-leader elements of precursor-tRNAs. RNAcentral also lists the same sequence under 3 other names. Lineage: Bacteria; Bacillati; Cyanobacteriota. The record is from RNAcentral.
AGAGUAGGCGCAGGUGGUUGCGGGUUAGCUUGAAAAAGUGAAUCUGAGGAAAGUCCGGACUCCCGAAAAAUCAAACUUGCUGGGUAAUGCCCAGUGCAGGUGACUGUGAGGAUAGUGCCACAGAAAGAUACCGCCUGAAGUAGGGAAUGGGGACUAGGGAAUGGGGACUAGGGAAUAGAAAAAAUCCCUAGCCCCUAGCCCCUAGCCCCUAGCCCCUAGAAAAUUUCCAGGUAAGGGUGCAAAGGUGCGGUAAGAGCGCACCAGCAGCAUCGAGAGGUGCUGGCUCGGUAAACCCCGGUUGGGAGCAAGGUGGAGGGGCUACGGUUGGUUUUUUACCAGCCCCGCUAAGUAGAGCCGCUUGAGGUGUCUGGUAACAGGCAUCCCAGAUAGAUAACUACCCUUCGGGUUGGUAACAGCCUGGAGAACAGAAUCCGGCUUAUGUCCGACUCUCUCU